GUUGAGAUGACCGAGUUGGUCUAAGGCGCUAGAUUAAUCCAAGAGGGCGCGGGUUCAGAUCCGACUCUCAACA
RNAcentral lists this transfer RNA (73 nucleotides) under Salix viminalis (osier). Lineage: Eukaryota; Viridiplantae; Streptophyta; Magnoliopsida; Malpighiales; Salicaceae. The record is from RNAcentral.